Molecule: ribosomal RNA, 253 nt
Filed under: uncultured bacterium
Lineage: Bacteria
Description: partial 16S ribosomal RNA
Rfam family: Bacterial small subunit ribosomal RNA
Source: RNAcentral
UACGGAGGGUGCAAGCGUUGUUCGGAAUUACUGGGCGUAAAGCGCGUGUAGGCGGCUUCUUAAGUCUGGUGUGAAAGCCCGGGGCUCACCCCCGGAAGUGCAUUGGAUACUGGGAAGCUAGAGUACCGGAGAGGAAGGUGGAAUUCCUGGUGUAGCGGUGAAAUGCGUAGAUAUCAGGAGGAACACCGGUGGCGAAGGCGACCUUCUGGACGGAUACUGACGCUGAGACGCGAAAGCGUGGGGAGCAAACAGG